Molecule: ribosomal RNA, 468 nt
Filed under: uncultured bacterium
Lineage: Bacteria
Description: partial 16S ribosomal RNA
Rfam family: Bacterial small subunit ribosomal RNA
Source: RNAcentral
GACGAACGCUGGCGGCGUGCUUAACACAUGCCAGUCGAACGGAAAGGCCCUGCUUUUGUGGGGUGCUCGAGUGGCGAACGGGUGAGUAACACGUGAGUAACCUGCCCUUGACUUUGGGAUAACUUCAGGAAACUGGGGCUAAUACCGGAUAGGAGCUCCUGCUGCAUGGUGGGGGUUGGAAAGUUUCGGCGGUUGGGGAUGGACUCGCGGCUUAUCAGCUUGUUGGUGGGGUAGUGGCUUACCAAGGCUUUGACGGGUAGCCGGCCUGAGAGGGUGACCGGCCACAUUGGGACUGAGAUACGGACCAGACUCCUACGGGAGGCAGCAGUGGGGAAUAUUGCACAAUGGGCGGAAGCCUGAUGCAGCAACGCCGCGUGCGGGAUGACGGCCUUCGGGUUGUAAACCGCUUUCGCCGGUGACGAAGCGUGAGUGACGGUAAUGGGUAAAGAAGCACCGGCUAACUACGUG